Molecule: ribosomal RNA, 259 nt
Filed under: uncultured bacterium
Lineage: Bacteria
Description: partial 16S ribosomal RNA
Rfam family: Bacterial small subunit ribosomal RNA
Source: RNAcentral
CUUGCAAACUAAAGAUGGCGACCGGCGCACGGGUGAGUAACACGUAUCCAACCUGCCGAUAACUCGGGGAUAGCCUUUCGAGAGAAAGAUUAAUAUCCGAUGGUAUAUUAAAACCGCAUGGUUUUACUAUUAAAGAAUUUCGGUUAUCGAUGGGGAUGCGUUCCAUUAGUUUGUUGGCGGGGUAACGGCCCACCAAGACUACGAUGGAUAGGGGUUCUGAGAGGAAGGUCCCCCACAUUGGAACUGAGACACGGUCCAA